This is a non-coding RNA of Asterophora parasitica, 94 nucleotides long. The record is from the annotation of a GenBank genome assembly. Lineage: Eukaryota; Fungi; Basidiomycota; Agaricomycetes; Agaricales; Lyophyllaceae.
CCGAUCUUAGCUCAGUUGGAAGAGCGCAAGACUGUAACGGAUAAAUUCAUCAAAGGACAUCUUGAUGUCGCCUGUUCGAGCCAGGCAGGUCGGA